AGGUACUGCAUUAUGAUACUCCUUUUGCGGUUACUGAGUUUUUGGUGUUUUGUAUUGAUUGUUUGAAUUUUGAGAAAGGUAGGAUUUGGAUUCUAAUAUGUUUGCACAUGUAUAAUUAACAGUAGCUGCGUCUUGAUAGUAUAUUUCACUCUUUGCGUCUUUAUUCAAAAAGUUCUAUAGAUUUUCUUGUUGCUGUAAAUGUUUUAUAUUUCUGGAAAUUAAUUAACUCUUGUUGGUGUUAAUAUCAAUGAUAUACAUACAAAUUAGAUUUUGAUAAUUAACAAUUAAAGAUUGCAAAACUAGGAAAAGAAAAACUUGAUCAAAAAUGACUUUAUUAGAUCAGCUUCAAUAGAUCUCAUUUAGAAAUGAGGUGCAUUGUUACCUGUUUUUCAAAGUGCAUGAAGGGAUAAUCAUAUUUUAUCCACUUCAGUUUUGAAGACAAUUUGAAUUCGGAUUUAAUUGUUGGAAUUUCGUAGAUUUGGUGAACAAUUUGGGAACAAUUGCGAGGUCUGGCACCAAGGAAUUUAUGGAGGCAUUGCAGGCAGGUGCUGAUGUAAGCAUGAUUGGGCAAUUUGGUGUGGGUUUCUACUCUGCUUAUCUUGUUGCAGAGAAGGUGAUUGUUACAACCAAGCACAAUGAUGAUGAGCAAUGCAUCUGGGAAUCUCAAGCUGGAGGCUCAUUCACUGUUACACGGGAUGUCGACGGAGAGCAACUUGGCAGGGGAACAAAGAUCACCCUUUUCUUGAAGGAAGAUCAGGUACAUUUGCUUUCCUAAUUAUUCACAUUUGUAUUUGAUUUACCCAAAUGUAUUGAUAGUGGAGUGGAUACGGGUUACAAUCAGCAGAGGUUUGUGUUUAUUUUAUUUUAUAUUUUUUAAAUAGAAAUGUGUCUUUGAUAAGCAUUGCAAAUGUAAAUAUAAUACUGCGUAUAAAACAUUGAGUUGUUAUGGAUCUAUGUUAACUUGAAGCGUAAACUCACCCAAAUGAUCUGGUGGAAGGUGAACUUGAUAAAUUCUAUCAGGAAUUUAUAUUUCAAUUGACAUGUUGAGAAUGUGUGACAAAGAAGACAAUGAACUAUUAUGUUUGUAGAAAUUGAGGUUAUUAUAAUGUUGGGAUGAUAAUUUUGCCACCGAUGACUUAUGGUUUAAUCUGGACCGUGUGCAGUUGGAAUACCUGGAGGAGAGGAGAAUCAAAGAUCUCGUGAAGAAGCACUCAGAGUUCAUUAGCUAUCCCAUUUAUCUUUGGACUGAGAAGACAACUGAGAAGGAAGUUAGUGAUGACGAGGAUGAUGAGCCAAAGAAAGAAGAGGAGGGUGAUAUCGAAGAGGUCGAUGAAGACAAAGAGAAGAAGGGAAAGAAGAAGAAGAUCAAGGAAGUUUCUCACGAGUGGCAACUGAUCAACAAGCAAAAACCCAUCUGGUUGCGUAAGCCAGAGGAGAUAACAAAGGAGGAGUAUGCCUCUUUCUACAAGAGCUUGACCAAUGACUGGGAGGAUCACCUUG
RNAcentral lists this long non-coding RNA (1500 nucleotides) under Olea europaea (common olive). RNAcentral's name for it is "long non-coding RNA (OEUR_LNC000115)". The record is from RNAcentral. Lineage: Eukaryota; Viridiplantae; Streptophyta; Magnoliopsida; Lamiales; Oleaceae.